GACGAACGCUGGCGGCGUGCCUAAUACAUGCAAGUCGAGCGGACGGAUGGGAGCUUGCUCCCAGACCGUCAGCGGCGGACGGGUGAGUAACACGUGGGCAACCUGCCUGUAAGACUGGGAUAACUCCGGGAAACCGGGGCUAAUACCGGAUAACUCUUUCCCUCCCAUGAGGGAAAGCUGAAAGAUGGCAUCUCGCUAUCACUUACAGAUGUGCCCGCGGCGCAUUAGCUAGUUGGUGAGGUAACGGCUCACCAAGGCGACGAUGCGUAGCCGACCUGAGAGGGUGAUCGGCCACACUGGGACUGAGACACGGCCCAGACUCCUACGGGAGGCAGCAGUAGGGAAUCUUCCGCAAUGGACGAAAGUCUGACGGAGCAACGCCGCGUGAGUGAUGAAGGUUUUCGGAUCGUAAAACUCUGUUGUCAGGGAAGAACAAGUACCGGAGUAACUGCCGGUACCUUGACGGUACCUGACCAGAAAGCCACGGCUAACUACGUG
RNAcentral lists this ribosomal RNA (498 nucleotides) under uncultured bacterium. Its description in RNAcentral is "partial 16S ribosomal RNA". It matches the Rfam family "Bacterial small subunit ribosomal RNA", at positions 28 to 507 of the family's 1533-position model. The record is from RNAcentral.